AAACACACAUGCCUCAGUAUUUAAACAAUCCGAGACUGUCACAUAUCUUUUGGUUAUCCUUCUUUAACUCUCUCUCUCUCUCUCUCUCUCUCUCUCUCUCUCUCUCUCUCUCUCUCUCUGUGUUUGUGUGUGUGUGUGUGUGUGUUGUAACUAGUAAGCUAUUAGUGGCAGAAAUUCAUUUAUAGCAUUCAGGCAAUGGUUUAACAGCAAACACACACACACACAACUUUCUAAGAAGAAUACGUAGAGGUAGAAAUAGUUAUUUUUAUUUUCUUGUCCUUUGCUCCAUCCAAAAAACAAUUAAUCCUUGUCUCUUGUUGACUUCCACUCAUGACUCAGAUGUGUGUGUCAGCAUAACUGCUAGAGCCACUUAGCAUUUGCUCUGCAAGCAUUUGGACCCAGGUCAACUCUAAUUGAUGACCCCGACUGUAAAGUAUGCAGAGACAUAUAGGUGAAACUUAGAACUAUCAUGGCAACCAGGGGAAAAGAAAGGAAAUUGAAUCAGAUCACAAUGAUGUCUAGGUAAUUCAAGCUCAUGAGGUCUACAGCUUUGUUGGCUCAGUAGGUUUGUCCAUUGAACUUCACUUGAGUUGAUCAAAUAAGUUCAGCCCACAAGACAACGACAAGAAUUCAAGAGGAGUUGGCGAUGGAGUGUUAAAAGCCUAUUAAAGCCUCUUUUAAUAGUUGUUUUGAAUACACGUCAUCCGUGUGUGGAUAUUAAGAAAGUACGAGUGUGUAUGCAUGCGUUUAUGUGCAGUCAUCUCAGCUCCAACUAUGGCAGAUGAGAUUAGUAUGCAGUUAGGUGGCAAACAUGGCAGUUCUAGUGUUGUUUGUGUAGGUGAAAUCUUGGCUUUACAGCCAUAUACAGAGGCAGACUGCAGUUUGACAUCAGACCUAGGCAACUGUGCCCAGGUGAUGACCCUGACAGUCGGAUACCAACAAGCUUCUACCCCAGCCAUCCCUCUUUCCCACAAACUCCUUCUGCCACACAGUCCUACAAACUCUGUCCACUGUUAUAUUGAGGGCCACGAUUCCCUGUCAUUUUGAAGCCCAGAAGGUCCUUGCAACCUGAGUCCCACAAGCUCUUACUCCUGCCACCCUGGGGCACAUAAGUUCCUACGCCUGCCCCCUUAAGUCCCAGAGGCUCCUACUCUUGCCACCCUGGGACACAAAAGCUCCUACACCUGCCACCUUAUAUCCUAAAAGCUCCUACUCUUGCCACCAUGAGGCCCACAAGCUCUUACUCCUGCCACCAUGAAGUCCACAGCUUCUUUCCUGCCAUCUCUUUUUUCCUACAAGCUCCUACUCCUGUCAUCCUAAGGACCACAAGCUCCUGCCAUUUUGAGCCCCAGAAAGUCCUACCACCACAAGUCCCACAAGCUCCUAAUCCUGCCACCCUGAUAUACACAAGCCCCUACACUUGCUCCUACUCCUGCCACUUUGUGUCCCACAAGAUCCUACUCCUGAGCCCCACAUGCUCCUACUGCUGUCAUCCUACGGUCCACAGCCUCCUAAACCCUGUCAUCUUGAGUCCCAUAGGUUCCUACCCCUGCCAUACUAAGGUCCACGGACUCCUUAACCCUGUCAUAAGUCCCAUAAGCUCCUAUGCCGCUUAUCCUAAGGUCCACAAGGACCUGGCAUCUUCAGUUGUAUAAACUCCUGCUUCUUUAAACCUGAAGCCAUCUCAAGUCACACAAACCUCGUUCUCCUGUCCUGGGGACUUCAGGCCUUCCCUCCAGUGAUUCCAAAUAUAACUUCUAUAUUAGUAUCUUUAUCCUUAUACCUUAUAAACUAGAUCUCUCAUGAUUCCAAUUGCUAGCCAAAGAAGAACGGGUUCCUCUCUCCCCAAGUUUUGGUUUUUCUCAAAAUUCUGUCCUGCCUAGCUGUGUCAUAGCUGCAUCAUUGUCCCUGUGGCUCUUGCUGACGGUUAAGGCACUGAUGUAAAGCUGCUUUGAGACAGAGUAUAUUGUAAAAAAAAAAAAAAAAAAAAAAAAAAAAGGAAGAACUAUAAGAACUCACUCUUACAAAAAAACAACAACAGCAGAAUCCUAUUUGUACACAUCUAUGCUCACACCUCCCUCCCUCUCUCUCUCUCUCUCUCUCUCUCUCUCUCUCUCUCUCUCUCUCUCUCUUAAAUUAGCAGUUACACUACAGGCAUGUAGGGAUGGUUUGGCUCAACCUGUUUUACUACCUUUCAGCACUUGAAUGUUUACAACAAAUACUCCUCCUCUGGCAUCACUCAGACUGUACAAGCCAAACAGGUGUAGAUCGAGCCACAAUCGAACGCGCACACUUACCUGCACAUUCCUGUGCAAAGUGCAAACGUUUUGUUCAAAUCUCAGCUUAUAUCUUUCUGAGGUGCUGAAGAGCUGGGGUAGAUACGUGCGCGUGCCCCAGAGUCGCAUGCCAGACGUCUCGGGGAGAAAUCUGAGACCAGUGAAGUUCAUUUAUUCACCACAAGCCUUGUUCCGGUUUACUUCCAGGCACGCAGAGCUCUAUUUGAGUGCGCGCAUACCGGGAACAUGACGGAGGACCGGAAACACACUGAACACCACUGAGAUCUCAGAAGCAAGGGCUGCAUCCUAAACCGCAUAGCAGAGUCCUCGGUACAUGAUCUGUCGAGUCUGAAAUAGGUGCUGAGGCAGAACUGUAGUGAGUGUCUUGGAGUACUGGAGUCAUCUAGUCAUCAAAAAUAUGCCAAAAAAAAAUCCCCAGCAGUGCUGAUGAUUAACACACACUGUGCACAGAAAAGAUGAGCUUUAGCCUCCAAAGCCGAUUUUACACUUAUGAUUUUUUCACAUUGUAAAGAAUUUGUUGGUCGUGAGUUGAGAUCGCAAUACGUGGCACGUUAGUGCCGUUGCAACCAAAGAAGGUCAACGAGAAAGUUCUGGCAGUUCUUUGCUUUGACUUUUGCAAUCGGUUCUUCCAUGUGUCUGUCUGAGAUUCUUGUUAGUAUGAUAUCUCAAGAAGGACUGGUUGAUUGUUUGUAGGAUUUAUAUGGAAUUAUUACUGUAACCAGCAGGUGAACUGACUAGAUGUUGGAAUUGAUCUAAACAGCAUCAAGGUCACAUGUCUGAAAUAGUUUUUAUUCAAUAGUUUUCUUCACCUUGGAAAUAUAUUAUAAGGGAAAUUGUGGCAUACAAAUGACUAGAAAGAACGACUAGACUCGCCGUUGGGGUGAAGUCAAAUCAACUUGUUUCCAUCCAUUAGCAUGGUUUGUGUAAGUUUGGAUAUCAACAUCCCUCCAUCCAUCCAUUUUCUGUGUUGCUUAUCCUACACAGGGUCGCGGGGGUGCCUGGAGAUUAUCCCAAGAAACUCUGGGCAUGAAGCCCGGGACACCCUGGAUGGAGUGCCAACCCAUCACAGGCCAAAAUCACACACCCAUUCAGACACUAUGGAAAAUUUAGAUAUGUCAAUCAGCCUACUUGGACUGGGGGAGGAAACUGGAGUACCUGGAGGAAACCCCCGAAGCACAGGUAGAACAUGCAAACUCCUUGCACACAGGGGGGAGGCGGGAUUCGAACCCCCAACCCCAUGAGGCAAAUAUGCUAACCACUAAGUGCUCCCGUUUCACCAUCACCAUUACCAUAUUUGUAACCAAGUCUGGCGUCGUCCAAUUCCAUCCUCUUACUGGUGGCUUUUAGACCAGCAUCGUUGCAGUGCUUACAUUCUGAGAUUUUAUACAAAAUUUCUUGCCACACUGCCAGAACUUUGUCGUCAGUCAUCUUUGGUUGCAAUCGACCAACGGCAAGCUUGCCACACUAGACGUUCUGAGAACGCCCACAUCAACAACGCAGCCAAAUAAUUCUUUGUGUGAUUUUUGUCUGUAACUGCGAAAUUGGGACGAAAGACCAGCUUACGAUUUCAAAUUGUGGAUGCUGCUACAACGCUCGUCUAAAAGCAACCAAUAGGAUGACGCCAAACUCACGGGGCAGCUACAGAUACAUUAAAGGUAAUGCCUUAACAUAAAGCAAGGGGGCGACCAAGGGGAAACUGUACAUCAUGUACAUGUACAUGGUGGAUAAAAAUAAAGUCUCUUUUAGCUUUUU
This is a long non-coding RNA of Ictalurus punctatus (channel catfish), 4049 nucleotides long. RefSeq lists it as uncharacterized. The transcript has 3 exons. NCBI's taxonomy places the organism in Eukaryota, Metazoa, Chordata, Actinopteri, Siluriformes, Ictaluridae. The record is from RefSeq and is a predicted model, not a curated record.